This 2929-nucleotide ribosomal RNA is filed under the name Bacillus velezensis. Its description in RNAcentral is "23S ribosomal RNA". It matches the Rfam family "Bacterial large subunit ribosomal RNA". The record is from RNAcentral. Lineage: Bacteria; Bacillati; Bacillota; Bacilli; Caryophanales; Bacillaceae.
GGUUAAGUUAGAAAGGGCGCACGGUGGAUGCCUUGGCACUAGGAGCCGAUGAAGGACGGGACGAACACCGAUAUGCUUCGGGGAGCUGUAAGCAAGCUUUGAUCCGGAGAUUUCCGAAUGGGGAAACCCACCACUCGUAAUGGAGUGGUAUCCAUAUCUGAAUACAUAGGAUAUGAGAAGGCAGACCCGGGGAACUGAAACAUCUAAGUACCCGGAGGAAGAGAAAGCAAAUGCGAUUCCCUGAGUAGCGGCGAGCGAAACGGGACCAGCCCAAACCAAGAGGCUUGCCUCUUGGGGUUGUAGGACACUCUGUACGGAGUUACAAAGGAACGAGGUAGAUGAAGAGGUCUGGAAAGGCCCGCCAUAGAAGGUAACAGCCCUGUAGUCAAAACUUCGUUCUCUCCUGAGUGGAUCCUGAGUACGGCGGAACACGUGAAAUUCCGUCGGAAUCCGGGAGGACCAUCUCCCAAGGCUAAAUACUCCCUAGUGACCGAUAGUGAACCAGUACCGUGAGGGAAAGGUGAAAAGCACCCCGGAAGGGGAGUGAAAGAGAUCCUGAAACCGUGUGCCUACAAGUAGUCAGAGCCCGUUAACGGGUGAUGGCGUGCCUUUUGUAGAAUGAACCGGCGAGUUACGAUCCCGUGCAAGGUUAAGCAGAAGAUGCGGAGCCGCAGCGAAAGCGAGUCUGAAUAGGGCGAAUUGAGUACGUGGUCGUAGACCCGAAACCAGGUGAUCUACCCAUGUCCAGGGUGAAGUUCAGGUAACACUGAAUGGAGGCCCGAACCCACGCACGUUGAAAAGUGCGGGGAUGAGGUGUGGGUAGGGGUGAAAUGCCAAUCGAACCUGGAGAUAGCUGGUUCUCUCCGAAAUAGCUUUAGGGCUAGCCUCAAGGUAAGAGUCUCGGAGGUAGAGCACUGAUUGGACUAGGGGCCCCUACCGGGUUACCGAAUUCAGUCAAACUCCGAAUGCCGAUGACUUAUCCUUGGGAGUCAGACUGCGAGUGAUAAGAUCCGUAGUCGAAAGGGAAACAGCCCAGACCGCCAGCUAAGGUCCCAAAGUAUACGUUAAGUGGAAAAGGAUGUGGAGUUGCUUAGACAACCAGGAUGUUGGCUUAGAAGCAGCCACCAUUUAAAGAGUGCGUAAUAGCUCACUGGUCGAGUGACUCUGCGCCGAAAAUGUACCGGGGCUAAACGUAUCACCGAAGCUGCGGACUGUUCUUCGAACAGUGGUAGGAGAGCGUUCUAAGGGCUGUGAAGCAAGACCGGAAGGACUUGUGGAGCGCUUAGAAGUGAGAAUGCCGGUAUGAGUAGCGAAAGAGGGGUGAGAAUCCCCUCCACCGAAUGCCUAAGGUUUCCUGAGGAAGGCUCGUCCGCUCAGGGUUAGUCGGGACCUAAGCCGAGGCCGAAAGGCGUAGGCGAUGGAUAACAGGUUGAUAUUCCUGUACCACCUCCUCACCAUUUGAGCAAUGGGGGGACGCAGGAGGAUAGGGUAAGCGCGGUAUUGGAUAUCCGCGUCCAAGCAGUUAGGCUGGGAAAUAGGCAAAUCCGUUUCCCGUGAAGGCUGAGCUGUGAUGGCGAGCGAAUUAUAGUAGCGAAGUUCCUGAUUCCACACUGCCAAGAAAAGCCUCUAGCGAGGUGAGAGGUGCCCGUACCGCAAACCGACACAGGUAGGCGAGGAGAGAAUCCUAAGGUGAUCGAGAGAACUCUCGUUAAGGAACUCGGCAAAAUGACCCCGUAACUUCGGGAGAAGGGGUGCUCUGUUAGGGUGCAAGCCCGAGAGAGCCGCAGUGAAUAGGCCCAGGCGACUGUUUAGCAAAAACACAGGUCUCUGCGAAGCCGUAAGGCGAAGUAUAGGGGCUGACGCCUGCCCGGUGCUGGAAGGUUAAGAGGAGCGCUUAGCGUAAGCGAAGGUGCGAAUUGAAGCCCCAGUAAACGGCGGCCGUAACUAUAACGGUCCUAAGGUAGCGAAAUUCCUUGUCGGGUAAGUUCCGACCCGCACGAAAGGCGCAACGAUCUGGGCACUGUCUCAACGAGAGACUCGGUGAAAUUAUAGUACCUGUGAAGAUGCAGGUUACCCGCGACAGGACGGAAAGACCCCGUGGAGCUUUACUGCAGCCUGAUAUUGAAUGUUGGUACAGCUUGUACAGGAUAGGUAGGAGCCUUGGAAACCGGAGCGCCAGCUUCGGUGGAGGCAUCGGUGGGAUACUACCCUGGCUGUAUUGACCUUCUAACCCGCCGCCCUUAUCGGGCGGGGAGACAGUGUCAGGUGGGCAGUUUGACUGGGGCGGUCGCCUCCUAAAAGGUAACGGAGGCGCCCAAAGGUUCCCUCAGAAUGGUUGGAAAUCAUUCGCAGAGUGUAAAGGCACAAGGGAGCUUGACUGCGAGACCUACAAGUCGAGCAGGGACGAAAGUCGGGCUUAGUGAUCCGGUGGUUCCGCAUGGAAGGGCCAUCGCUCAACGGAUAAAAGCUACCCCGGGGAUAACAGGCUUAUCUCCCCAAGAGUCCACAUCGACGGGGAGGUUUGGCACCUCGAUGUCGGCUCAUCGCAUCCUGGGGCUGUAGUCGGUCCCAAGGGUUGGGCUGUUCGCCCAUUAAAGCGGUACGCGAGCUGGGUUCAGAACGUCGUGAGACAGUUCGGUCCCUAUCCGUCGCGGGCGCAGGAAAUUUGAGAGGAGCUGUCCUUAGUACGAGAGGACCGGGAUGGACGCACCGCUGGUGUACCAGUUGUUCUGCCAAGGGCAUCGCUGGGUAGCUAUGUGCGGACGGGAUAAGUGCUGAAAGCAUCUAAGCAUGAAGCCCCCCUCAAGAUGAGAUUUCCCAUUCCGCAAGGAAGUAAGAUCCCUGAAAGAUGAUCAGGUUGAUAGGUCUGAGGUGGAAGUGUGGCGACACAUGGAGCUGACAGAUACUAAUCGAUCGAGGACUUAACCAA